This 460-nucleotide ribosomal RNA is filed under the name uncultured bacterium. Its description in RNAcentral is "partial 16S ribosomal RNA". It matches the Rfam family "Bacterial small subunit ribosomal RNA", at positions 338 to 795 of the family's 1533-position model. The record is from RNAcentral.
CCUACGGGUGGCAGCAGUGAGGAAUAUUGGUCAAUGGACGCAAGUCUGAACCAGCCAUGCAGCGUGCAGGAAGACGGCACUAUGAGUUGUAAACUGCUUUUGUACGAGGGUAAACGCAGAUACGCGUAUCUGUCUGAAAGUAUCGUACGAAUAAGGAUCGGCUAACUCCGUGCCAGCAGCCGCGGUAAUACGGAGGAUUCAAGCGUUAUCCGGAUUUAUUGGGUUUAAAGGGUGCGUAGGCGGUCGGAUAAGUUAGAGGUGAAAUCCCGAGGCUCAACUUCGGAAUUGCCUCUGAUACUGGUCGGCUAGAGUGUAGUUGAGGUAGGCGGAAUGUGUGGUGUAGCGGUGAAAUGCUUAGAGAUCAUGCAGAACACCGAUUGCGAAGGCAGCUUACCGAGCUACUUCUGACGCUGAGGCACGAAAGUGUGGGUAGCAAACAGGAUUAGAUACCAGUGUAGUC